AGUGAACGCUGGCGGUAGGCCUAACACAUGCAAGUCGAACGGCAGCACAGUAAGAGCUUGCUCUUACGGGUGGCGAGUGGCGGACGGGUGAGGAAUACAUCGGAAUCUACUUUUUCGUGGGGGAUAACGUAGGGAAACUUACGCUAAUACCGCAUACGACCUACGGGUGAAAGCAGGGGGAUCUUCGAACCUUGCGCGUUUGAAUAAGCCGAUGUCGGAUUAGCUAGUUGGCGGGGUAAAGGCCCACCAAGGCGACGAUCCGUAGCCGGUCUGAGAGGAUGAUCAGCCACACUGGAACUGAGACACGGUCCAGACUCCUACGGGAGGCAGCAGUGGGGAAUAUUGGACAAUGGGCGCAAGCCUGAUCCAGCCAUACCGCGUGGGUGAAGAAGGCCUUCGGGUUGUAAAGCCCUUUUGUUGGGAAAGAAAAGCAGCAGGUUAAUACCCCGCUGUUCUGACGGUACCCAAAGAAUAAGCACCGGCUAACUUCGUG
RNAcentral lists this ribosomal RNA (493 nucleotides) under uncultured bacterium. RNAcentral's name for it is "partial 16S ribosomal RNA". It matches the Rfam family "Bacterial small subunit ribosomal RNA", at positions 29 to 507 of the family's 1533-position model. The record is from RNAcentral.